This 62-nucleotide microRNA precursor is filed under the name Xenopus laevis (African clawed frog). RNAcentral describes it as "Xla-Novel-13-P2_pre stem-loop". Lineage: Eukaryota; Metazoa; Chordata; Amphibia; Anura; Pipidae. The record is from RNAcentral.
ACCAACCUGUGGUCCUUCAGAUGUUGCAACGGCUUUACAUCUAGGGGGUUUCAGGUUGCCCA